This 429-nucleotide ribosomal RNA is filed under the name Chloroflexota bacterium. Its description in RNAcentral is "Chloroflexi bacterium partial 16S ribosomal RNA". It matches the Rfam family "Bacterial small subunit ribosomal RNA", at positions 355 to 776 of the family's 1533-position model. The record is from RNAcentral. Lineage: Bacteria; Bacillati; Chloroflexota.
UGGGGAAUAUUGCACAAUGGGCGCAAGCCUGAUGCAGCCAUGCCGCGUGUAUGAAGAAGGCCUUCGGGUUGUAAAGUACUUUCAGCGGGGAGGAAGGGAGUAAAGUUAAUACCUUUGCUCAUUGACGUUACCCGCAGAAGAAGCGCCGGCUAACUCCGUGCCAGCAGCCGCGGUAAUACGGAGGGUGCAAGCGUUAAUCGGAAUUACUGGGCGUAAAGCGCACGCAGGCGGUUUGUUAAGUCAGAUGUGAAAUCCCCGGGCUCAACCUGGGAACUGCAUCUGAUACUGGCAAGCUUGAGUCUCGUAGAGGGGGGUAGAAUUCCAGGUGUAGCGGUGAAAUGCGUAGAGAUCUGGAGGAAUACCGGUGGCGAAGGCGGCUCUCUGGUCUGUAACUGACGCUGAGGCUCGAAAGCGUGGGGAGCAAACAGG